UACAGGGGGGGCAAGCGUUGUUCGGAAUUACUGGGCGUAAAGGGCUCGUAGGCGGCCAACUAAGUCAGACGUGAAAUCCCUCGGCUUAACCGGGGAACUGCGUCUGAUACUGGAUGGCUUGAGUUCGGGAGAGGGAUGCGGAAUUCCAGGUGUAGCGGUGAAAUGCGUAGAUAUCUGGAGGAACACCGGUGGCGAAGGCGGCAUCCUGGACCGAUACUGACGCUGAGGAGCGAAAGCCAGGGGAGCAAACGGG
Molecule: ribosomal RNA, 253 nt
Filed under: uncultured bacterium
Lineage: Bacteria
Description: partial 16S ribosomal RNA
Rfam family: Bacterial small subunit ribosomal RNA
Source: RNAcentral